AAGUUGCGUCUUUAAAAAGGAAAAAGUAAAAUUUACAAAGAGGAAGGUAGAUUGCUCUCAUCAACACCCACACAGAGAAGACUCUCCAACCUUCUUCACCCUUCUUCUUCUUCUUCCUCAACGCGGCUCUUUGCGCUCAAGACCAAGCAGAUCGACAUUUUAUGGAUAAAGGAGUACCUGGAAAGGAGGCCCUGAAUGAAGUGACCCGUGAGUCGCUUAUUGCCAUUUCUUACUCGGAACCAGAGAAGAAUCUCACUUCUGAUAAGUGGAAUGGUGAAACUCUGGUUAAAGCAAUAGAUGCUGAUGGAGAAGACAAGUUUAGGUCUGAACUGAUCUCUAUUUCCUAUACGCCGUCUUCAGAAUUUGGAGGCUUUCCUGUUACCAAUGGUGAACUUAAGAACUAGGCUAAAGGACUAGGCUGCAAGCAAUCCAUGUAUUAAUAUAUCACGAAGUAAUAUUGUGUGCAUGGACUUGUGUUAUAUGGAAGUUUCUCAUUUUCUGUAUAAUAACCUUGGGAGAAUGAAUGCAAUUCUGUGUCUCAGCGUCUUUGCUAUAUCAUUAUUGCCUAUAUACUAAGAUGCUAUACAUUCAUUCCUGUCUUCUGUUUAUGUAAGAUAAUUUCAU
Molecule: RNA transcript, 624 nt
Organism: Fragaria vesca subsp. vesca
Lineage: Eukaryota; Viridiplantae; Streptophyta; Magnoliopsida; Rosales; Rosaceae
Exons: 2
Source: RefSeq, a predicted model, not a curated record